This is a non-coding RNA of Paramisgurnus dabryanus, 767 nucleotides long. The record is from RefSeq and is a predicted model, not a curated record. NCBI's taxonomy places the organism in Eukaryota, Metazoa, Chordata, Actinopteri, Cypriniformes, Cobitidae.
AAGAGCACCAAUUAUGCUAAUAAAUUAGCACGUUAGCACGUUAUUGUAAUAUCCCAUAGUACAUACAUGUUAUUAAAACUUGAACUAAUGCACUGUGAGUCUUAUAAAUUGCUUACAUACCUCACCGAUUUCUGCAUGUCUGGAAAACGCUCGGUUUAGUUCCUGUCUCCGCCUCCCAAAAUGUCUAGUGUAUUCGGAUUGGUCAGAUGACUACUCAACUGUUAUUGGUCAACUGGGUUCGGCGUGUGUUUGAAAGGUUACGCCCCUGACUACGCGUGGGUUUUCCGGUUCUGACUGAGAGUCACAGGCAACGUAAACAAGCGCUAUAUUUCUCUAUAAACGAUGGUGUCUGUACUGCCUUACCACUUCAAGCUCGAUCCAGAGAGUUCAGACGGCCGUUACGAUAUAAACGAUCUCCGUCAAUGAACGCGAAUGGAUUUAACUUUUUUAGGUGUCCUUAGCUCUGCCAGAAUGCUAAACGAAGACGAAAAUGUGUUGCAAAGACAUCCAAAAGGUUUUAAGGAGAAUGCAACAUGUUCCAGGGCCUCUUACCUGCGUGAUUCAUCAUCCAGGUUUUGCACAAAUUGUCUAAAUCCCUACACACAGAACAUUUAUUGUACCGACUAUAAGCCUUUGAGUUGCAGGACUAGAAUACGCUUGGAGCUUCCUGAUCAGAUCGGUCACAAUUUUGGCUUUCGACGACCCCUGCACUGAAGAUGGCAUGCAAUCACGUCCUCCUUUGAAGGUCUCUCAAACUGUGAUGCCAG